This 396-nucleotide ribosomal RNA is filed under the name uncultured bacterium. RNAcentral describes it as "partial 16S ribosomal RNA". It matches the Rfam family "Bacterial small subunit ribosomal RNA", at positions 523 to 918 of the family's 1533-position model. The record is from RNAcentral.
AUACGUAGGUGGCAAGCGUUAUCCGGAUUUACUGGGUGUAAAGGGCGUGUAGGCGGGUUUGCAAGUUGGAUGUGAAAUCCUCAGGCUUAACCUGAGAGGGUCAUCCAAAACUGCAGAUCUUGAGUACUGGAGAGGAUAGUGGAAUUCCUAGUGUAGCGGUAAAAUGCGUAGAUAUUAGGAGGAACACCAGUGGCGAAGGCGACCUGCUGGACGACAACUGACGCUGAGGCGCGAAAGCGUGGGGAGCAAACAGGAUUAGAUACCCUGGUAGUCCACGCUGUAAACGAUGAAUACUAGGUGUGGGGGGACUGACCCCCUCCGUGCCGCAGUUAACACAAUAAGUAUUCCACCUGGGGAGUACGAUCGCAAGAUUGAAACUCAAAUGAAUUGACGGGG